RNAcentral lists this transfer RNA (29 nucleotides) under Probergrothius sexpunctatus. RNAcentral describes it as "partial tRNA-Leu". Lineage: Eukaryota; Metazoa; Arthropoda; Insecta; Hemiptera; Pyrrhocoridae. The record is from RNAcentral. RNAcentral also lists the same sequence under 2 other names.
UCUAAUAUGGCAGAUUAGUGGCAUUGGAA